CCAAACCCAUUCCCCAAAAAAAUAUCCGCACAUCUCCCACUCUAACCCUUCCCCACUCUAAGCAACUAUCCCUAAAACCCUCGUUCCUCUUGUUUUGGAAAACAGAAAUUGUCAAGGUAUGGCCACCCUAGUUUUUUUUUCCUCUUCUUAAUUAUUUCAAUUUUUGCCAUGCUUUCUUAGGAUUCUUGAUCGAGAAUAGUUCCUUUCAGUUUCAUCAUUACAUUGUGACAGUGAAAUGGCAAUCCCGACUUUAGCUAUAUUGAUAAGUGUCAAGAAUACUCCAACAGCUUAUAAGGAUGAAAUUAUGGGAUGCAUUAGCACAACCAUUUGUAGGCAUAUGCUCCAAAUUUAUGUUGCAGUAUGGUGAUUAGGUUUAUUCUUUUUAAGUAAACCCGAAUUUGUCUUUUCAGGCACUUGUGUUAUGGGCAUCAACGUACAAACAGACAAGUGUAAUAAUCAUGAGGUAUGUAUGAUACUUUACUCUUUCUGAAAACAAAAUCAAUUGGAUAUACUACCUAGUGAAGGAUGGAGUAUUUACAAAAUUCUUGUUAAAAGUUUUAGGACUUCUGAAAUUUUAUUUAGAAUAAUAAUAUUUUACUCUAGUAAUGUUUGUUUUUAUGAAACAAGUGUGAUGUUAAACUGGUUUAGCUUAUGCUCCUUUCUUGAGCAGAGAAAUAUGAGAAUAUAAUUUUUUUGGCAGUUACAAACUUAAGAAUUUACAAGACUUCAGACUUGGAAACACCUAGUUAUCAGAUACUAAGAAGAAAUGCAGCUUAUGGGAUUGGUAGUAUUUUCUUAUAGUGUUGUGCUUCAAACUAAGAACUGCUAAAUAAGACUUAUGUCUUGAACGGUUUGUAGUUUUUUGAUAUAUACAUUGCACAAAUAAUCUUAAGGUUUUAAAGAAGCAGGUUGUUGUUUCUGGCAGAAUCUUACCCUACAAAAGGAAAUGUUAUUUAGUUCAAAUGUGAUUGACAAGUCCCAACUAACUAAUGUACUAAACUUAUGGUGUGGAUGUCAUUUUUUUUAUAUACAGGUUAGAAUUUAUGACUCCUUCAUAGUUGUAGAAACAGAAGGUGGCAGUCCUGCAAGAUCAAGAGGGUAACAUGGCAAUCUUGCUGGAUCAGGAGGUGGUGUCACCAGGUGAAGUAAUCGAUGGAGUGCUAUAAGAUCUUAUUUUGUUGCGUCCUUGUUCUUGAUAUCCGCAAAAACAACAAUUUCUUUCACGCACAGGGUACAAAUACAAUCGGCUAAUGUCUUUCAAUUCGCCAUCGGAACCUGGUAUUAGAAAAGCAUUGGAGCAGUUAUGAGUUUUGAUUUCUCUUCACUGUCCGCUGAUGGUUACCAUCCCUAUCCAGACUCACAUUAGCUAGUUUUUUUAGAACUUUAUUAUUCUGUGUUGUAAAAGAGUUAUGUACUGUGGAUCUGUAUGAAAUUAUUCUUUUUCUUGUAAAAAAUAUCGUACUUUUGAGUAUAACAACAUUUUAGUAUUCUAAUUUAUCUUGAAUGAUAUUGUUG
Molecule: long non-coding RNA, 1515 nt
Filed under: Nicotiana tabacum (common tobacco)
Lineage: Eukaryota; Viridiplantae; Streptophyta; Magnoliopsida; Solanales; Solanaceae
Description: long non-coding RNA (NTAB_LNC000896)
Source: RNAcentral